GUUUUUCAACAAGGUUUCUUUUAUUUAUUUAGCAAGAAAUUACUCUUUAUUGAUCAAAUCACCAGGAAUCUGCCGCAAAAGACUUAACAUCUUAAUGACCACUGAGGCCUGGGCUCUGAGGCUUGCUCUGCCUCUCCCAGUCCUUAAUGGGGUUUAGAGGGAGAGACGUCAUUAACAGAGACCAAGUCAGAUGGUUGCAGGUCCUCCUUUCCCAGUCAUCAGACAAGUUGCUCAAUUCUUGUCCAGAGCAGGAAAGAGCCAGUACUUCAGUAAAAUUGAAUAAAGAAUUUGAUGUUGCAUUAUAAGAUCUCUCUUAACAAUUUAGAUUUAUCAACAAUAUUGGUCCAAAACUCAUUUGCUUCUAAUUUUUUUCAUUUUGCAAUUUACUUUGUGUGUGUGUUACUUUAAUAAUCUCACUCCCUGUGCAGAAAUUAAUCAACCCCGUGCAAAGAAAAAUCCCUCAACCUGGAAUAGCUUCAUCUUACUUUGGCAAGAGAAAACAGAGGUAUUUUUGCUCCUCUUCUACCCAAGUGAUGAACAAAUAUCCCCCCAAAGUUCAAAAUGUUACUCUGGCCUCGGAAUGCAUAUAAAGACUGCUUUAGAUGGGCUGAUUCCAAUCACCUAGAAAGGGCAGCCGGAACCACUAUGCAGGCAGCCUUCUUUGGAAAUUUCUUACAAUCAACUCUUGAGAACCAUCCGUGAUUGUGGACAAUGGCUCUAAGGUCCAAACAACUUCUGUUCUUUCAUCUCACGAGCUAGGCUCAGAGGAGGCAUUUGAACUGUCAGGAGCAAGAACAGCAGCUGUGGCCCCACGAGGCAGGACUUCAAUAACUCGCGGCUUGUCAAUGAUCCGGGCCGUUCGGUUUCCCUUUUCCACAAUGCCAACGAUCCACGCUUGGUGACCCUCUCCGUACUUGGAGGAUUUGAUUUCAGAACAAAAGCGAGCCGCCUGUUCUCUUGGCAGACAAAUCAGUAAUCCCCCAGAGGUUUCAGCUGAGGUUCCUUGAAGAAGCCCAAACCGUCCACUGGCCUUGCUGACGGCAGCCAUCUUGGCAAUUAUUGGCAGAUUAUGAAUAACAAAGGACACUUCAUUUCUUUGUUGUUUUGCAAGGUUCUGGGAGUGUCCUAGAAUGCCAAAGCCUGUGAUAUCUGUGGCCGCAUGGGCAUUAAAUGUGUGCAUUAAACCUGCAGCAGUUCUGUUGAGGGUAGCCAUAUUGAACAUGGCUUCCUGAUAGGCCAGCUCCACCUCUUCUCUGGAGACCACCAUCUUUACUUUAUUCCAUCUUUCAGGAUUAUCCAGCCAUUGGUGGGCAUUGACAGCAACCUGGGUUCCUAACGGUUUGGUUAACACCAGCACGUCCCCAACGACGGCGCUGUCCGGCAUUAUGAACUCAUUUGGUUGGCAUACUACAGUGGCAACUCCACCGAUUAUAAUCCAAGGGUUGACCACCGUUUGCCCACCGGUCACUGCCGUCCCUCCUUCCUCAGCCGCAUCCCGAAAGCCUUUGACCAUGAGUGGCGUUACCUUUUCGCGUUCCUCCUCACUCAUACUCUGGCUGACGCUGAGUAACAUCAACAUGUUGUCACACUCAGUAAUCCCCAUGGCGUAGAGGUCACUCAGCACGUUGGCACAAGCUAUGCGCCCCAUCAUGUAGGGAUCUUCUACCAAGGGGUAAAAGAAGUCCGUGGUCUGCACCAGUGACAGGCCCCCGUGCCUCAGGGGGAUGACGCAGGAGUCCAUCCCGAUGCCCAGGGCUGGAAAGGUGGGGCUGGGCCCGUCAGCCGCCAGCUCGGGCUGAGGCC
Molecule: long non-coding RNA, 1803 nt
Filed under: Homo sapiens (human)
Lineage: Eukaryota; Metazoa; Chordata; Mammalia; Primates; Hominidae
Description: HSALNT0229713
Source: RNAcentral